UUUCUUUCCCCCAUCAUGCCUCUCCCCGUCUGCUAAAAAAACGACACGAGAGCUCGAGCGGUGACUGCGUCGUCGCCGCCGUUCCUGCGGCCUACGGGCUCCCCGGCGCUUGGAGUUGUCCCGAAGAGCCGCAGCCGUCGUCUUCAUCGGAGCCGGGGGGGCAACACCGUCGUCGUCACGUCGAUCCCCUUCGACGGACACUGCCUCUGCCCCGUCGUCGAUCCCCUCGACUCCAACUACCUCCGGCUCCCCUGAGCUCCUACGAACCCCCCUGUGAGCUCCUCCUCCGACUUCCGGCCUAGCCCCCGUCGAUCUGCCACCGUAGAGUCACCCCGCGAGCUCGCGCCCGUCGUGGCCGAAGCCCUGCCGCAACCGCACCGGGUUCGCCCCCGUGCACGCUCGCCGCAUCCAUAUGGUCGUGCUCCCCCGCGCGUCCGGCAGCUCCCUAGCCGUGUUCCGCAGCCACCCGCUCCCGCGCACGCUAGCUGCUCUGCUAUCGUUGAUGUCGCCUCCGCUACUCUGCUGCUCCUACAAGCUUGCUGUUAUUCAUCUGCUAGCUGACGCCGCUGCUGUUUUGCUGCUGCUCCUGCUAGUUAGUCGCUGCUGCUCCUAAGCGUUGCUCCUGUCUGCUAACUACUGCUGCUCCUAGAUGCUGCUGCUUGCCGCUGCUGAUUCCUCCUACUGCCGCUGCUUAGUUGCUGCUAAUGGCCAUGGCCGUGGCCAUGUCCAAGCACGUGUGGUGUGCCUGUGUAUGCACAGGCACCACUGGCAGGCCGUGCAAUUUAACUUGGGGACUAAUUACUACUCCCUCCGUUCCAAAUUACUUGUCGUCGUUUUAGUUCAAAUUUGAACUAAAACCACGACGAGUAAUUUGGAAUGGAGGGACGACGAGUAAUUUGGAACGGAGGGAGUAGCUAGUUUAACUACUAGCAUAUGACAAGUGGACCCUAGACUAAUUAAUCUAAUUAACUAGAAUAUUUUUAGUUGCUGCAUAUUACAUGUGGGCCACACCCUACCCAUUUGACCAGUCAAGUUGACUUGGUCAACUCGAAUUAAAAUAAAUCCAAAAUUUUAGAAUUUUCUUUUAAACUUUGAAAAAUCUUAUAAAAAUAACCGUAACUCGGAUGAAUAUGUUUUCAACAUGAGAGUUGCUCAGAAAGACGAGACGAAUCCAAAUACGCAGUCCGCUCGUCUCCCACAUGUCCCUAGCAUAACGAACCUGCAACGUUUCCCCUCCGAUUCGUCUGUAUGAAAAAGCCAAACUUCGGGAAAAAUUUCCCGAAUGUUUUCCCCCUUCGCCAGUAUCGCGUGACACCGCGUUAGGACACGCCUAGUGCUGCUUAUUGUCAUGUCAAUCUGUGUGCCUUAUAUUUACUGUUUCUCCCCCCUCUUCUUCUCUCCGAUAGACUCCGAGACCGCUGCUGAUGUUGCCCCUGUGAUCGACUACGUCGACGACGACACUUCUUCCCUUUCAGCAGAGCUUCCAGGCAAGCCCCCCCCCCUUGCUUAUUCUGAUAUCGCACAUUCCAUUCUCUCAUGCUUGCAUUAGAUUUUGUUGUUGUUAUUGUUUGCUCCUAUUCUGAUGCAUAGCCUGCUUUUGUAACCUGCUCAUUGUACCUUACCUGUUUAUCCUAAACUGCUUAGUAUAGGAUGGUUAGUGAUCCAUCAGUGACCCCCACCUUGUCCUUGUUGCCCCUGAUUCAUCAUCGAAGACCCGAUCAACUGGAUCGAAGAGCAGGCCCCGGCACCGCACAUCACUUUCCCCUUAGUUGCUCGACACUACUGGGUUACUAUCGAGUGCCGAGGGUGAGACCUCAUCAGCAUUUCUGAUGUUAACCCUGUAGUGUAGCUAUUCGGUCGUGGUCAUCGAGGGUGAUUUCCUCCUUAACCACUUCCGAUACGACUCUGUCAUGCAACCCCUCAAGUGUGAACCUCGAGGGUGGAUCCUCUUACGUUCACCUUGAUGAUUACAUCAAGUGGAAUUCAUCGGGGGUGAUUCCUCGGGUUUUCCCCUUGAUGUUUGGACACACGGAUACUUGGACUUUACAACUGUUACUUGGAAAGGCGGGCCGACCCUGAGGGGUACCCGCGAGUGACGUGGAGACGGGUUGACCUGGAGGGUGCCCGCGAGAUAAUUACGAGGCGUGGCCGGGCAUUCCUAGCCCUUGGAGCAAGUUCUCGAGACGGGGCAACGGGGUCACAUCUUUCGUGAGUCUCUGCUUGUUACUACGAUUUGGAUAUUUGAUCCGAGGGGCCUGAUACGUCUCCAAUGUAUCUAUAAUUUUUGAUUGCUCCAGGCUACUUUAUCUAUUGUUUUGGACUAUAUUGGGCUUUAUUUUCCACUUUUUUAUUAUUUUGGGGACUAACCUAUUAACCGGAGGCCCAGUCCAGAAUUGUUGUUUUUUGCCUAUUUCAGUGUUUCGAAGAAACGGAAUAUCAGGCGGAGUCCAAACGGAAUGAAACCUUCGGAAACAUGAUUUUCUCACCGAACGUGAUCCAGGAGACUUGCACUCUACUCCAAGAAGUGCCAGAGGCGGUCACAAGGGUGGAGGGCGCCCCCCUGGGCGCGCCCCCUACCUCGUGGGCCCCCUGUUGCUCCACCGACGUACUCCUUCCUCCUAUAUAUACCUACGUAUCCCCAAACGAUCAAGGAGGAGCCAAAAACCUAAUUCCACUGCCGCAACCUUCUGUAUCCACGAGAUCCCAUCUUGGGGCAUGUUCCGGAGCUCUGCCGGAGGGGGCAUCCACCACGGAGGGCUUCUACAUCAACACCAUAGCCCCUCCGAUGAAGUGUGAGUAGUUUACUUCAGACCUUCGGGUCCAUAGCUAGUAGCUAGAUGGCUUAUUCUCUCUUUUUGGAUCUCAAUACAAUGUUCUCCCCCUCUCGUGGAGAUCUAUUCGAUGUAAUCUUCUUUUUGCGGUGUGUUUAUUGAGACUGAUGAAUUGUGGGUUUAUGAUCCAGUUUAUCUAUGGAAAAUAUUUGAAUCUUCUCUGAAUUCUUUUAUGUAUGAUUGAGUUAUCUUUGCAAGUCUCUUCGAA
RNAcentral lists this long non-coding RNA (3039 nucleotides) under Triticum aestivum (bread wheat). RNAcentral's name for it is "long non-coding RNA (TAES_LNC022742)". The record is from RNAcentral. Lineage: Eukaryota; Viridiplantae; Streptophyta; Magnoliopsida; Poales; Poaceae.